GCCUGACUGGCUCAGUCAGUCAGUAGAGCAUAUGACUCUUGAUCUGGGGGUUGUGAGUUCAAGCCUCACGUUGGGCA
This 77-nucleotide transfer RNA is filed under the name Mustela putorius furo (domestic ferret). It matches the Rfam family "tRNA". Rfam says of the family: Transfer RNA (tRNA) molecules are approximately 80 nucleotides in length. Their secondary structure includes four short double-helical elements and three loops (D, anti-codon, and T loops). Further hydrogen bonds mediate the characteristic L-shaped molecular structure. tRNAs have two regions of fundamental functional importance: the anti-codon, which is responsible for specific mRNA codon recognition, and the 3' end, to which the tRNAs corresponding amino acid is attached (by aminoacyl-tRNA synthetases). tRNAs cope with the degeneracy of the genetic code in two manners: having more than one tRNA (with a specific anti-codon) for a particular amino acid; and 'wobble' base-pairing, i.e. permitting non-standard base-pairing at the 3rd anti-codon position. The record is from Rfam by way of RNAcentral. Lineage: Eukaryota; Metazoa; Chordata; Mammalia; Carnivora; Mustelidae.